This 74-nucleotide transfer RNA is filed under the name bacterium. RNAcentral's name for it is "tRNA-Arg". It matches the Rfam family "tRNA". From Rfam's summary of the family: Transfer RNA (tRNA) molecules are approximately 80 nucleotides in length. The record is from RNAcentral.
GCGCCCGUAGCUCAGCUGGAUAGAGCGUUUGGCUACGAACCAAAAGGUCGGGGGUUCGAAUCCCUCCGGGCGUA